Molecule: ribosomal RNA, 253 nt
Filed under: uncultured bacterium
Lineage: Bacteria
Description: partial 16S ribosomal RNA
Rfam family: Bacterial small subunit ribosomal RNA
Source: RNAcentral
UACGUAGGGUGCGAGCGUUGUCCGGAAUUAUUGGGCGUAAAGAGCUUGUAGGCGGUUUGUCGCGUCUGCUGUGAAAUCUCAAGGCUCAACCUUGAGCUUGCAGUGGGUACGGGCAGACUAGAGUGUGGUAGGGGAGACUGGAAUUCCUGGUGUAGCGGUGAGAUGCGCAGAUAUCAGGAGGAACACCGAUGGCGAAGGCAGGUCUCUGGGCCACUACUGACGCUGAGAAGCGAAAGCAUGGGGAGCGAACAGG